CUGGAUUGAGUUCAGUUGCUAACGGUCAAUGAUGUAAUCAGUCAUGUACUUGUGAUGAAGUCUCCAUAGCAACCCAAAGGACAGGGUUCUGAGAGCUUCUGGGUUGGUGGAUAAGUGGAGGUGCUGGGAGUGUGGCACCCUGGAGGGGACAUGGAAGCUCCGUGUGUGUUCUUUCCCCGUGUAUUUCCUUACACAUCUCUUCCCUCUGGUUGCUUCUGGGUUAUAUCCUUUUAUGAUAAAAGCUCUUUCCUACAUCAGGAGGCUCCUUAUGUACCUAUGUGCAAACCCCAGCCCGCAAGUCCAGCCCUUCUAUGUGAAAGGAACCCCUCAGGCCGCUUUUAGACACGGAGGAAUGAUGCCAGCGGCUGAGUCUGUUCUCACAAGGACCUAUCCUUGGGUGAGGCCUCGCAGCAUCCUAGACCCGGUUACAGUCAGCGAGAACCAGCCAGUUCUCCCAGGAUGUGAGGAGGUGAUGUCCCCAGAGCAGCCUACAGAGAUAGCUCCAAGUUGGAAUGGCUUUGCUGUUGGUGGCGGGGAGCUAAAUAUUUCAUCUUCAUAAAAUAAACAUAGAUCGUCUCAUCAUGAAAUAUAC
This 592-nucleotide long non-coding RNA is filed under the name Capra hircus (goat). RNAcentral describes it as "lncRNA (ENSCHIG00000008147.1)". Lineage: Eukaryota; Metazoa; Chordata; Mammalia; Artiodactyla; Bovidae. The record is from RNAcentral.